GUUUCUUCCAGAUCCCUUAAUGACGUGUUCGUUCGGAGUUCGGUAGUCCUGAUCCCUUAAUGACGUGUUCGUUCGGAGUUCGGUAGUCCUGGAAUGAGAGCAGUUUAUUCACUUGAAGCUUUAAGGCUGGGUACAAACUUGCCAAUAUGCCAUUCGCACAGCCACCAUAGCGUAUCGGCUGGAACAUUGGCUCAUGGAUACAAACAAAAUGUUUGUGAAUGAUGUUGUCCACAGAAAUAUCACGUCACUCUUCCAAUGGUGAUAUAUCUUGCGGAUAUAUUGGUACAUCUGCCUGUGCCAGCGGCAGGAACCACCGUCACUAGCGGUUCCUGUGGCCAGACAUGUUGGGCGGUGGAUUGGGAAGUGUAUAUUCAGAAGAUCGUUUGUGCAUUAACCUUACCCAUCAUUAGAUUGAAUGGUCGGAUGGCUGAUCCAUCGGCCAAGUAAGUAUCCAGCCAAGACAGCAUGGGCCAGUAUUUUUAAAAGUGCUGUCAUCUGAAGAUGGACGUACGAUUGUCAUUCUCUGACUA
This is a long non-coding RNA of Pseudophryne corroboree (corroboree frog), 530 nucleotides long. RefSeq lists it as uncharacterized. The transcript has 3 exons. NCBI's taxonomy places the organism in Eukaryota, Metazoa, Chordata, Amphibia, Anura, Myobatrachidae. The record is from RefSeq and is a predicted model, not a curated record.